This 310-nucleotide long non-coding RNA is filed under the name Elaeis guineensis (African oil palm). Its description in RNAcentral is "long non-coding RNA (EGUI_LNC031186)". The record is from RNAcentral. Lineage: Eukaryota; Viridiplantae; Streptophyta; Magnoliopsida; Arecales; Arecaceae.
CUUUCUGUUGGAGAAGUCCGGCAAGAGUCUGAUUGCUAGAGAAGUCCGUCUGAAAUUUAUCUGAUGUAGAAGCUCGUCUGAAGACUGUCCACUGGAGAGGUCUGAUUUCACGAGGAAUCCAGCAGAAGGUCGAUCGAUAGUGGAGUUCGGAAGGCAUUGUGGAAGUUCAUCCGCUGGAGGAGUCUUGAGGACACUGUGGAAGGUUGACCACUGGAGGAGUUUGGAAUUUAAUUCUAUUGUAGAAGUUCGGACGGAGUCUGAUUCUUGUAGGAGUCCAGAAGGAGGCCGCUUACUGUAGAAGCUCAGAUGA